Molecule: ribosomal RNA, 504 nt
Filed under: uncultured bacterium
Lineage: Bacteria
Description: partial 16S ribosomal RNA
Rfam family: Bacterial small subunit ribosomal RNA
Source: RNAcentral
GAUGAACGCUGGCGGCGUGCCUAACACAUGCAAGUCGAGCGGUAGCACAGAGAGCUUGCUCUCGGGUGACGAGCGGCGGACGGGUGAGUAAUGUCUGGGAAACUGCCUGAUGGAGGGGGGUAACUACUGGAAACGGUAGCUAAUACCGCAUAACGUCGCAAGACCAAAGUGGGGGACCUUCGGGCCUCAUGCCAUCAGAUGUGCCCAGAUGGGAUUAGCUGGUAGGUGGGGUAACGGCUCACCUAGGCGACGAUCCCUAGCUGGUCUGAGAGGAUGACCAGCCACACUGGAACUGAGACACGGUCCAGACUCCUACGGGAGGCAGCAGUGGGGAAUAUUGCACAAUGGGCGCAAGCCUGAUGCAGCCAUGCCGCGUGUGUGAAGAAGGCCUUCGGGUUGUAAAGCACUUACAGCGGGGAGGAAGGCGGUGAGGUUAAUAACCUCAUCGAUUGACGUUACCCGCAGAAGAAGCACCGGCUAACUCCGUGCCAGCCGCCGCCGUAA